Molecule: long non-coding RNA, 4631 nt
Filed under: Lupinus angustifolius (narrow-leaved blue lupine)
Lineage: Eukaryota; Viridiplantae; Streptophyta; Magnoliopsida; Fabales; Fabaceae
Description: long non-coding RNA (LANG_LNC002853)
Source: RNAcentral
CAUUCAUCUAAACCAGAGAUAAAAAAAAGAGGCAGGGGAUUAUUCAGAGUUGGAAGGGGAAAAAAGAAAUGAAGUUCAUCCUAGCCUCUUCUGAUUAAAUGAGGCACAAAAUGUACAGCAUCAAAAUAUGUAAAAUCUUGAACCAUCUAUAGAAAGGAAAAUUUACAGACAAGAAAGCUAAUGUCUGACUUGUCUCAUGCACCUUCUAAACUAUGCUAACAAUCGGCCAAUAAAAGUUUGGCAACUCAAUCUCUAUGGGUGAGAGGUUCCACACAUGCACAAAAGGUUGCUCUCUUCUUCUGGUUGUUGGUUCUAGUCCCACCAUAGAGAUAAUCUCGUAAAAGAACUCUUGGACUUCGAUGAUCAGCAACUUUUGUUUUUUCUUUGCUUUCUUUUCUACCAUCCAGUUUCAGAAGCAGAAACUGCAGUCUUUGCACCUCCAACUGCAGCCUUCCUAUUUUUUCUGACCCUCUUCGCGCAUGCUCCAUUACUCUCCUUUUGCUGACACUUCCAAUCUCCCCGGACUCGAACACUGCCUUCUCGUCGAAAGACAUGAUACUAUCUUCCACAUUCUUCUUUAACUUUUGGUUGCCAUCAAACAACUUUGUGAUGGUUUCCUGAGCAGCUUCAAUCUGAUCUUUCACAGAAUUGUACUCAACACCUUUUCCCUUUUUGCUAGUUCCCAUAAUUUCCACCUUCUUCACCAAAUCCAGUAUGGUUAUUUGAAUGUUUGUUAGCUUUUGUGCAUCAGAAUCAAGUCUUUCUAAAACUUUGCUCUUGUUUCCCACUUCAUGUGGUUGUCCAAACAAAAGAGAACAACAAGAGUAACCACAUAAUCAUUGUUCUUAACGAAAUAAGAAUAUUCUUAUUCUGUUCUCGAUUGUGUUAUUCUUAUUUUCUGAUUUUUGUUAUUAAAUAAGAACAAUUCUUGGUUGUUCUCAGCCAAGGGAAAGUAAAGAGAAAAAAAGGUAAAUAUUAUGAUGCUCAAAUAAAAAUAAAUAAGAAUGAUGUUUAUCGUUGUGAAAAAAAAUUAUUAAGUUAUAUAGAAUAAUGUGACACUAAAAAAGAAUGAAGAUUAUGGUGGAGAUGCUCUAAUUUUCAUCCUAUUCUUUCCAUUUAACCCUCCCUCUGUCAUUUCAUCCCACUAUUCCCAGAUUUCUACACAUUAGCAUUAGCAUGUCACAUAUUAUUUUCCUAAUUGAAAAGGAUGAAAAGUGAGAGAUAGGAAUUGAGAAGAAAAAAAGAAAAAAUAAUUAAAAUAUAAUGGACUACUGGCCUCAAUUCAUAUAAUAGAGUGGCCACAAUAUUUGAAUACAAUUUCUUAAGAAUUGAUGAUAUUGUGCAGGAAGGAAUAGCAGUUGGAAGAAGCUUUGCAAUGUUCAAAAAUUACCAUAUUGAUGGAAACAAAGAGAUGAUAGCUAUUGGCACCAUGAAUAUUGUUGGUUCUUUCACCUCAUGCUACCUCACCACAGGUAAAGUUUUUAUUAAUUAUUGAUACUAAGUGCCCAAUUAAUUUUCAGCAUCAAUUAUGCUAUCAAAUGUUGCAUUAAUAACAUCAAUAUUAUUUCAGGGCCUUUUUCACGUUCUGCUGUGAACUACAAUGCUGGAUGCAAGACUGCAGCAUCAAAUAUUGUAAUGUCAAUUGCAGUGAUGGUGACAUUGUUAUGCUUAACACCUUUGUUCCAUUACACUCCUCUAGUGGUUCUAUCAGCCAUAAUUGUAUCUGCAAUGCUUGGCCUCAUAGAUUAUGAAGCUGCCAUCCAUCUUUGGAAGAUUGACAAAUUUGACUUUGUGAUUUGCAUCAGUGCAUAUAUUGGUGUGGUCUUUGGCAGUGUUGAAAUUGGCUUAAUCGUUGCAGUAUGUAUAAAUCUGAAUUUAAUAUGUCAGUUUUUGCUUUUAUUAUAAAGGUUUAUGAAACUAAUAUGUACUUUUCUUUGCAUAUUCAGGUUGCAUUAUCUUUACUUAGGAUACUUUUAUUUAUUGCAAGGCCAAGGACAUUUGUUUUGGGAAACAUUCCAAAUUCUGUGAUAUACAGAAAUGUUGAGCAAUAUCCAAAUGCAAAUCAUGUUCCUGGAAUUCUAAUUCUAAAGAUUGAUGCACCAAUUUACUUUGCCAAUGCAAGCUAUUUAAGAGAAAGGUAAUUAAGCUACCUGAAUUUUUGAGUUUUACUCUUGCAUGCAAACAAUCCUAACAGUGAAGUGGAAAUAGGAUUACAAGGUGGAUUGAUGAAGAGGAAGACAGAAUUAAAGCUACAGGGGAAACAAGUUUGCAAUAUGUUAUAAUGGAUAUGACUGGUAAGUGAUGGAUCUGUAAAACAAAGUAACUUGCAAACUGGUUAUUAGAAUUUACAUUCUAACUUUCAAUGUAAUUUUAUUGGCAGCUGUUGGGAACAUUGAUACAAGUGGAAUCAGCAUGCUUGAAGAGGUCAAAAAGAUUGCAGACAGAAGAGAGCUACAAGUAGUUUUUCUAUCAAUGUUAUCUGUUAAAAUGAACUUCCAUACGCAUGAUUUAUGAAUUAUGAUAAAAUGCAAUGGUAUGGUUUGAUCCAUGUAGCCGAUAGCCGAUAGCCGACCUUAACUAGUGAAAAAAGGCUUUGAUUGUUAUAAAAGCUAAUUAUGUACUUAGAUUUUCUUAUAGCCAGUUCAAUUUAACAAUGCUUGAUUUGUUCUGUUCAUUUCUAAAACUUUCCUUCCUACUUGUGCAGCUUGUUUUGGUCAAUCCUGGAAGUGAGGUGAUGAAGAAACUGAACAAAUCCAAAUUCCAAAUGGAUUUAGGGCAGAAGUGGUUCUAUCUGACAGUUGCAGAGGCUGUUGGAGCAUGCAACUAUAUGCUGCACGCAUGCAAACCAAAUUCUGUGAAAGAUGAACAAGAGGGUUGGAACAAUGUCUAAGUCAUAUUUCAAGGCAUGUUUUCAAGAUCUCUUGCAAAGCUUGGUCGUUUUAGUCUCAGCAAAAUUACCAUCACAAUAUGUAUAUGUUUCAUGAGAGUUUGUGAAUCAUGUUGUACAAGAUUUCGGGUCAUAGGAAAAUGAAAGAUGCAUGUAUGUUUUAAUGUCUGAAACAUGCAUCCUGAGUUGGAACUAAAUCUUCUACAUAGUCUGUUGAAUAUUAUGUAUUGCGCUUGAUAAAUUAAUCAAAUGGAAAGUAAAUGCUACGAGAAUUCAAAUUGUUCCUUAUGAAAUUUCCGAGAACUAGACCAAAUUAAAGUGGCAUGCUAAUUAUAAGUUCUUAGCCUUAUUCAAUAACAUGCAUAUCCUUCGGCAAAAUUACUCAAUAAAGCUCAUCUAAAAUAAACUUUCCUAUUGCAUCACCUUGCUAUGGGAGGAGACAAUGUAAUGCACUAAAGAGGAAUAAUAAUACCAAAUAAAGACUAUGUUCCUUUAAAGCACAAAAAAAUGAUUCAUAACUGAUAAUUUUACAGUUUUACACUAGAUUAAAGUAGGAGACUAUUUUAUAUUUUUAAAAAAACUCAUCUUUAAUCCUAAUAAUUAAUUUAGGGGGAAAUACAGCGCAAUCUUGAGUUGAUGCUUUUAAUAUUGAAUCAAACUUUUUAAUAUUUUUAGAAUGAACUUUACAUUUUAUCUCCUUUAAAUAUAGGACAACUGUGUACUCAUUUUAGGUCUCUUAAAUAAUUGGGUAGUUAGUGACUUAGUAUUCAGUAAAAAAGGUGAUAAACCACUCAUUAAAAGUCAUUAAACAUGUAAAUGUAUUUAUUUUCUUAUACAGUAUAAUUGAACUACAAAACAGUCUGAGUCCACAGCAAGAGGUCUACUAUAUAUUUAUAUUAGCUACCACAGGACUAGCUUUGUUCACUCCAUAUGUAGCAUAUCCCGUAAUAGGAAAGGCUCCACUGCAUCCCCAAAGUUGGAGGUUCGAUUCUUGAGAGUGACACUUGUUAGGAGGGGCAGUCAUGAAUUCUGAGAGAGAUUAGUUCCUUACCCAAAAAUGUAAGGGAUACCCUUGGUAGUAUCAAAAAAAAUAUUCCAUAAUAGGAAAUAGUGAAUGAUCCUCUUCUUAUGCUCAAUGGAUGUGAACUUCUCUAGAAAUCAAAUAUGGCAAAAAAGAUUACCAAGAACUUCAAGAAAUGCAUUUCUUGCAUUUUAGGCUGAAGAAAGGAUUCUUAAGACAAGCAAAAACACAAACAAAAGAUAAAGAUAAGUGCAUGUUACCAAAAUGCUAAAGAAAGCAAUAAACAAAACAUGAAUCAUUCAUCUAAACCAGAGAUAAAAAAAAGAGGCAGGGGAUUAUUCAGAGUUGGAAGGGGAAAAAAGAAAUGAAGUUCAUCCUAGCCUCUUCUGAUUAAAUGAGGCACAAAAUGUACAGCAUCAAAAUAUGUAAAAUCUUGAACCAUCUAUAGAAAGGAAAAUUUACAGACAAGAAAGCUAAUGUCUGACUUGUCUCAUGCACCUUCUAAACUAUGCUAACAAUCGGCCAAUAAAAGUUUGGCAACUCAAUCUCUAUGGGUGAGAGGUUCCACACAUGCACAAAAGGUUGCUCUCUUCUUCUGGUUGUUGGUUCUAGUCCCACCAUAGAGAUAAUCUCGUAAAAGAACUCUUGGACUUCGAUGAUCAGCAACUUUUGUUUUUUCUUUGCUUUCUUUUCUACCAUCCAGUUUCAGAAGCAGAAACUGCA